UACGAAGGGGGCGAGCGUUGUUCGGAAUUACUGGGCGUAAAGGGCGCGUAGGCGGCCCCUUUUGUCGCGUGUGAAAGCCCCCGGCUCAACUGGGGAGGGUCACGCGAUACUGAUCGACUCGAAGGCAGGAGAGGGUAGUGGAAUUCCCGGUGUAGUGGUGAAAUGCGUAGAUAUCGGGAGGAACACCAGUGGCGAAGGCGACUACCUGGCCUGUUCUUGACGCUGAGGCGCGAAAGCUAGGGGAGCAAACGGG
Molecule: ribosomal RNA, 253 nt
Filed under: uncultured bacterium
Lineage: Bacteria
Description: partial 16S ribosomal RNA
Rfam family: Bacterial small subunit ribosomal RNA
Source: RNAcentral